This 753-nucleotide ribosomal RNA is filed under the name uncultured Comamonadaceae bacterium. RNAcentral's name for it is "bacterial SSU rRNA". It matches the Rfam family "Bacterial small subunit ribosomal RNA", at positions 28 to 776 of the family's 1533-position model. The record is from RNAcentral. Lineage: Bacteria; Pseudomonadati; Pseudomonadota; Betaproteobacteria; Burkholderiales; Comamonadaceae.
AUUGAACGCUGGCGGCAUGCCUUACACAUGCAAGUCGAACGGCAGCACGGGAGCAAUCCUGGUGGCGAGUGGCGAACGGGUGAGUAAUACAUCGGAACGUGCCCAAUCGUGGGGGAUAACGCAGCGAAAGCUGUGCUAAUACCGCGUACGAUCUACGGAUGAAAGCAGGGGAUCGCAAGACCAUGCGCGAAUGGAGCGGCCGAUGGCAGAUUAGGUAGUUGGUGAGGUAAAGGCUCACCAAGCCGUCGAUCUGUAGCUGGUCUGAGAGGACGACCAGCCACACUGGGACUGAGACACGGCCCAGACUCCUACGGGAGGCAGCAGUGGGGAAUUUUGGACAAUGGGCGAAAGCCUGAUCCAGCCAUGCCGCGUGCAGGAUGAAGGCCUUCGGGUUGUAAACUGCUUUUGUACGGAACGAAACGGCCUUUUCUAAUAAAGAGGGCUAAUGACGGUACCGUAAGAAUAAGCACCGGCUAACUACGUGCCAGCAGCCGCGGUAAUACGUAGGGUGCAAGCGUUAAUCGGAAUUACUGGGCGUAAAGCGUGCGCAGGCGGUUAUGUAAGACAGUUGUGAAAUCCCCGGGCUCAACCUGGGAACUGCAUCUGUGACUGCAUAGCUAGAGUACGGUAGAGGGGGAUGGAAUUCCGCGUGUAGCAGUGAAAUGCGUAGAUAUGCGGAGGAACACCGAUGGCGAAGGCAAUCCCCUGGACCUGUACUGACGCUCAUGCACGAAAGCGUGGGGAGCAAAAAGG